GGUCUCUACUCUCGACAGCAUCAGCCGCUCUUAACUGCCUAUUUGAGGAGCAGCAGUCGUGAAGAAGCACACUAAUAUUCCUUUGCAGCAAGACGGCAGGACGUGAGCCCAGGCUCCUCCAGCUUGGUGACAUGAUAAGGAGAACAGCAGUACCAGACCGUGGCCAGGCCAGAUAAGCCAUGUGGAGUGGGCGGGCUGUUUUUCUCAAACUACUCCUUUUGUAGUAUGUAGCCCAACUAACUCCUGAGGCCCUUACUGCGCAGCUACGCUGCUUUUUAGUUAAAACCCAGAACCCCAGCAACAAACUGCAAAGAAAAAUGGAGGGCUUAGAAAAGGACCAUCCUUACUCGGGAUCUUCCCAGCAGCCUCCACCAGCCAGAGAGGAAUACACUGUGCCAGGGGCCAUCACGCACCGCCUGCGAGACCGAGAGCUGCUGAGGAAAAGGAAAGCAGAAGCACAGGAGAAAGAUACUGUCCAGUGGGUUCUGGGAGAGCGGGGUAAGAGCACAGGGCCCAAGAGGGGCCGAGGAGCUGGGAGAAGAAGAGGCCGACAGCAGGGUACAGAGCCAGAGCCUCAGCCUGACGUGCAAGAGGAGGUGGAGAAGGAGCCCCCAGAGAAAGCACAGGCAUCUCCAGGGCACCAUGAGGAGGAGCCCGCCCUGUCUGUGGCUCAAGAGCUGUCUGGUGGGACUCAGCAGGAGGCGGUAGAGGGCCCCCCUGCUCAGGAUAUUCUGCAUCCAGCAGAGCUAGGGGAAGCACCAAAGUCAGAAGAAGCAGGAAUAUCAGAGGCUUUGAAUAUCCCUCUGGAAAAUGACCAUACAGAUAAUGGAUACUACCCCUCAGUUUUAUUUUGAUCUUUUUUUCCUUCCCAUUGCUUUGGUCAAAGUCCAGCCACCGUAGAAUGAUUUAGAUCUGCUAUUCCUGUGUGAGCAAUAAAAACUAAACACUUGCACCA
This 955-nucleotide long non-coding RNA is filed under the name Chrysemys picta bellii (western painted turtle). RNAcentral's name for it is "lncRNA (ENSCPBG00000024354.1)". The record is from RNAcentral. Lineage: Eukaryota; Metazoa; Chordata; Testudines; Emydidae.